RNAcentral lists this long non-coding RNA (1125 nucleotides) under Physcomitrium patens. RNAcentral describes it as "long non-coding RNA (PPAT_LNC011266)". The record is from RNAcentral. Lineage: Eukaryota; Viridiplantae; Streptophyta; Bryopsida; Funariales; Funariaceae.
UACCCCUUCAAAACAUAUUUUUUCCGCAAAGGGUUUUCUUGUCUUGAACUUUAGAAAAUCAUAACUCUUGAUCUAACCGUUCAAUUUGUCUCAAAUUUACAAGAUAGGUAAAAUUUACCCUUAACUUGUAUCACAAAAAAAACCAACCGCAAAUUCACUCUUUAUCUUUUGGCAGAUGCUCUAAACCCUAAUUUAUAAGCACCUAAAUACUAUUUUCUUAAUAUCUCAAGAAUCCAAUAUUCAAAUGUCAUAAAACUUAUGCACAAAGUUUACUUACAUAAAAUUACAUAUUUCCUGAAAUUUUGAGCCAAAACCUUAUCAAAUUGCUCAAGAUAUAGCUUAAGAAAAAACCACUAGCAAAUCGGAUUACUUACUAUCCUUAGAUUGCGUGUGCUGACUUCAAAAUCCAAUAACUCCUUUAUUAUAACUUAGAAUCCAAUAAACAAUAUAUGAAAAGUGUAGCCACAAAAGUUUUCUCUCUAGUUGCAAUAACCGAUUCUCAAUUGCUAUCCGUACGCGUGCGUUAUGCUAAAAAGAGUGAAAAUAGCUCUCAAAUCAACACCUUAACUUUGAGCGUUUGUAUCUCCUUCAUAUAAAUUCCAAACCAUACAAAACUUCACCAAAACCAUAGCCAAAAACCUAAACCUUCUGACCCUAGCCUUCAAAACUCGAAUGGCCUCGAGAACUAACCCUAAUGCCUAAUAUGGCCUUAGGGAACCUCCUCAAAGCCCAUUGGUCAUGAUUUUUGACCAAUAUGAAUGGAGAUUUUCAUUAUUCAUCUCCAUUCAUCUAUAUUGGUGCCCUAAUUACUCCCUUUGCUACCAAAAUCCUUCUUCAAUCCUUUUUCUUAUAAGAUUUACAUAAUUUAUGCUCUAAACACCAAAUAAAAGAAUCAAAAGAAGUUUUUAAAGGUCACCAAUGUCUAACAAAGGUGAUUCUAAAUAUUUAGAAGUUACUAUCAACCAAAACCAAUCUUAAAAGCCACUAUCAAAAAUAAAUUCAAAUUAUACAAAUUCUAUAGUAAACUUUUUAAACAACCUCUUCUCAAGGUAAUAAUCAAAUUAUAUUCUACAACCAACUAAAAUCUACUAAUAUGGCUCUCACCAUGUUACUUAAUAAAUUAUA